This 513-nucleotide ribosomal RNA is filed under the name uncultured bacterium. RNAcentral describes it as "partial 16S ribosomal RNA". It matches the Rfam family "Bacterial small subunit ribosomal RNA", at positions 28 to 523 of the family's 1533-position model. The record is from RNAcentral.
GACGAACGCUGGCGGCAUGCCUAAUACAUGCAAGUCGAGCGAACAGAUGAAGUGCUUGCACUUCUGACGUUAGCGGCGAACGGGUGAGAAACACGUAAGGAAUCUACCUAUAAGCGGGGGAUAACAUUCGGAAACGGGUGCUAAUACCGCAUAAUAUCUUCUUCCGCAUGGAAGAAGAUUGAAAGACGGCUCUGCUGUCACUUAUAGAUGACCUUGCGGUGCAUUAGUUAGUUGGUGGGGUAAUGGCCUACCAAGACGGUGAUGCAUAGCCGACCUGAGAGGGUGAUCGGCCACAUUGGGACUGAGACCCGGCCCAAACUCCUACGGGAGGCAGCAGUAGGGAAUCUUCCGCAAUGGGCGAAAGCCUGACGGAGCAAUGCCGCGUGAGUGAAGAAGGCCUUCGGGUCGUAAAACUCUGUUAUAAGAGAAGAACAAAUUGUAGAGUAACUGCUACAGUCUUGACGGUAUCUUAUCAGAAAGCCACGGCUAACUACGUGCCAGCAGCCGCCGUAA